UACAGAGGUCCCGAGCGUUGUUCGGAUUCACUGGGCGUAAAGGGUGCGUAGGUGGCGUGGUAAGUUUGAUGUGAAAGCUCAGGGCUCAACCCUGAAAUGGCAUUGAAUACUACUGUGCUGGAGGUUUGGAGGGGGGACUGGAAUUCUUGGUGUAGCAGUGAAAUGCGUAGAUAUCAAGAGGAACACCAGUGGCGAAGGCGAGUCCCUGGACAACACCUGACACUGAGGCACGAAAGCUAGGGGAGCAAACAGG
Molecule: ribosomal RNA, 253 nt
Filed under: uncultured bacterium
Lineage: Bacteria
Description: partial 16S ribosomal RNA
Rfam family: Bacterial small subunit ribosomal RNA
Source: RNAcentral